This 724-nucleotide long non-coding RNA is filed under the name Mus pahari (shrew mouse). RNAcentral's name for it is "predicted gene 10680 (MGP_PahariEiJ_G0002275.1)". The record is from RNAcentral. Lineage: Eukaryota; Metazoa; Chordata; Mammalia; Rodentia; Muridae.
GUCCCCAGCCAGAUGCGGCUGGCUUUGCCAGGUACUGAUUUCCUCCCCCCACGUCAGUCCAGCCCCCAAGGAACCACAGGGCAACCCGACGGGGCUAAUUUCUCAGUUGCUUUAUUGAGUAGCGAGAUGAGGCGUCAUCUCCCACAGGACAUGUGUCCUCAAGCUGGAGGUACAAGAAGUGCCUGGGGACAGAGUGGCAGACAGGCUCUUCUCCAGGAAGCUCAAGUGGCUUUCCACCUCCCCCGAAUUGGAACCCAGCUGCUGCCUGAACUGCUCCAGCUGCUGCACCAGAGCCUUGUUGAACAUCUCUCCCAUGGGCUCCACAGUGCGCCGGAACUCCUCCACCUGCUGCUCCAGCUGCCUGUUCAGGUCUUCCAGAGACUUCUGCAGCCCUUCCGUGUUGCCCUUCACCUUGCUCUGCACAUCUUCCACCAGCGGGGCCAGAUUCUUCUGCAGCUGGUCGAUUUUUGCAGAGACCUUGGUCUGGAGCUCCUCCGCGUUCUUCUUCAUCUGGAAAGCCAGGCCCUCCAUCUGAUGGUUGAGUUUCUCCUGCAUGCCCACCGUAAGAGGGGCCAGGCUGCGGCGCAGAUCCUCCAGGUUCUGGUCGAUCGUGGCCUUCAGCUCGUUGGCACGGGGGGUCAGCUGCCCCUUGAGCUCUUCCACAUUCCUGUUAAACUUGUCCUUCAACUUGUUGGCCAGGGGCAUCAUCGAGGUCUGCAGGUUG